This 102-nucleotide small nuclear RNA is filed under the name Octodon degus (degu). Lineage: Eukaryota; Metazoa; Chordata; Mammalia; Rodentia; Octodontidae. The record is from RNAcentral.
GUGCUCGCUUCAGCAGCACAUAUACUAAAAUUGGAAUGAUACAGAGAAGAUUGGCAUGGCCCCUGCGCAAGGAUGACACGCAAAUUUGUGAAGCCUGUGCUU